Molecule: ribosomal RNA, 711 nt
Filed under: Entrophospora etunicata
Lineage: Eukaryota; Fungi; Glomeromycota; Glomeromycetes; Entrophosporales; Entrophosporaceae
Description: SSU rRNA
Rfam family: Eukaryotic small subunit ribosomal RNA
Source: RNAcentral
UCCGGAGAGGGAGCCUGAGAAACGGCUACCACAUCCAAGGAAGGCAGCAGGCGCGCAAAUUACCCAAUCCCGACACGGGGAGGUAGUGACAAUAAAUAACAAUACGGGGCUCUUUCGGGUCUCGUAAUUGGAAUGAGUACAAUUUAAAUCCCUUAACGAGGAACAAUUGGAGGGCAAGUCUGGUGCCAGCAGCCGCGGUAAUUCCAGCUCCAAUAGCGUAUAUUAAAGUUGUUGCAGUUAAAAAGCUCGUAGUUGAAUUUCGGGAUUGACACAUCGGUCGUGCCUUAAGGGGUAUGAACUGGUGUAGUCAAUUUCUCACCUUCUGGAGAACCGCGAUGCCCUUAAUUGGGUGUCACGGGGAACCAGGACCUUUACUUUGAAAAAAUUAGAGUGUUUAAAGCAGGCAUUUUGCUUGAAUACAUUAGCAUGGAAUAAUAAAAUAGGACGGCAUGAUUCUAUUUUGUUGGUUUCUAGGAUCACCGUAAUGAUUAAUAGGGAUAGUUGGGGGCAUUAGUAUUCAAUUGUCAGAGGUGAAAUUCUUGGAUUUAUUGAAGACUAACUACUGCGAAAGCAUUUGCCAAGGAUGUUUUCAUUAAUCAAGAACGAAAGUUAGGGGAUCGAAGACGAUCAGAUACCGUCGUAGUCUUAACCAUAAACUAUGCCGACUAGGAAUCAGACGAUGUUAAUUUUUUAAUGACUCGUUUGGCACCU